This 433-nucleotide ribosomal RNA is filed under the name uncultured bacterium. Its description in RNAcentral is "partial 16S ribosomal RNA". It matches the Rfam family "Bacterial small subunit ribosomal RNA", at positions 29 to 507 of the family's 1533-position model. The record is from RNAcentral.
AACGAACGCUGGCGGCAUGCCUAACACAUGCAAGUCGAACGAGACCUUCGGGUCUAGUGGCGCACGGGUGCGUAACGCGUGGGAACCUGCCCUUAGGUUCGGAAUAACUCCCCGAAAGGGGUGCUAAUACCGGAUAAUGUCUUCGGACCAAAGAUUUAUCGCCUUUGGAUGGGCCCGCGUUGGAUUAGCUAGUUGGUAGGGUAAAAGCCUACCAAGGCGACGAUCCAUAGCUGGUCUGAGAGGAUGAUCAGCCACACUGGGACUGAGACACGGCCCAGACCCCUGGGGGAGGGAGAGGGGGGAAAUAUUGAACAGGGGGGGAAAGCUGGAUCCCGAAGUGCCGGGUGGUUGAUGAGGCCCUAGGGGUUAUAAAUCUUUUUUCCCCGGGAUGAAAAGGAGAGUCCGGGAAGAAUAAGCUCCGGCAAACUCGGGG